UUAGAGAGAUGGGCCUCGAACCCAUACUUAAGAAAUCAAAAUCCUUCGUAAUCCCAUUUUACUACCCCCU
Molecule: transfer RNA, 70 nt
Filed under: Pristimantis nangaritza
Lineage: Eukaryota; Metazoa; Chordata; Amphibia; Anura; Strabomantidae
Description: tRNA-Gln
Source: RNAcentral